AAUUCUCCUGCCUCAACCUCCCGAGUAGCUGGGAUUACAGGAUUUAGCACACAAAUGUCCAUAGAGCAUUUGGAAACAAGCAAUGAGAGCAGAGGUAUCCGGUGUAUCCCAACCACCCUCCUGCGGAUCCCCGCGCCUCCCCUGCGCAUCCCACGCGCAUCCCACGCGGGCAGCAGCACACAGGAGACCACGGGCUAAGCCUGAACCACAGGCAAACUCACCAGGCACGCCCCAUGGCCUGUGCUCGUGCCCUCAGGUGGUGACGAAAGGACCUGGGGCCGCCCAGGAGGACUGGACGCUGAGGAGCAGUGGGCGUCCAGUGUAAGAGACUUGUGCACACGGGGACAGCAGGAGAGGUGGGCUGGCCAGGAUCAGGAGGCAGCUGCCUCAGCAGAGAGGAAGAGGGUCAGCAGAAGAUCUCUUCACCCUCUGCUGAUACUUCUGACGCGGGACCAUCUGGAAAUGUGAAAACCAAGAAUGAAAAAAAUUCAGCAAAACUGCUCCUUUCAUUGAACUUCCUCCCCAUCCCAAAGUCUUCUGUAAUGCAAACAGGCGACUGGGGCUUAUGGGCAAUUAACUCUUCUGCGCACUGGGGUUUCUGAACAAAUUUGGUUAAUAAGGAUCUUAAGUGAUAUCCUUCACUGCCUAAUGCUCCCUUUAACUUUUAAAUAAGCACUAGAAUUUAUGAAGAGGCCAGGAAAAUGUACUUUUUCUUUAACCUCCCACACAGAAAGGAGAGAUCAAUCCUAAAGAGAAGGAUUCAGGGGAAAAAGUGGUACAUGAACAGGGAGGCAUUUAGUGGAAUUCAGCCGCAGGCUCUGUGGCCGCUGGCAUGUUAGUUAGCCUCUGUGAGCCUCAGUUUCCUCACUUCUCUUGGCGUUAGCAGUGCCAACUUCAUACAGUCAUUUGAGGGUUAAAUCACCAAACGCUAGCUGUUACCAAUGACUACUCUAGGCCCAGAAAGGCAAGGAGGAC
This 975-nucleotide non-coding RNA is filed under the name Pan troglodytes (chimpanzee). The record is from RNAcentral. Lineage: Eukaryota; Metazoa; Chordata; Mammalia; Primates; Hominidae.